This 447-nucleotide ribosomal RNA is filed under the name uncultured bacterium. RNAcentral describes it as "bacterial SSU rRNA". It matches the Rfam family "Bacterial small subunit ribosomal RNA", at positions 28 to 521 of the family's 1533-position model. The record is from RNAcentral.
GGCGAACGCUGGCGGCAGGCUUAACACAUGCAAGUCGAACGGAUCCUUCGGGAUUAGUGGCGGACGGGUGAGUAACACGUGGGAACGUGCCUUUUGGUUCGGAACAACACAGGGAAACUUGUGCUAAUACCGGAUGUGCCCUUCGGGGAAGGAUUUAUCGCCAUUAGAGCGGCCCGCGUCUGAUUAGCUAGUUGGUGAGGUAAAGGCUCACCAAGGCUACGAUCAGUAGCUGGUCUGAGAGGAUGAUCAGCCACACUGGGACUGAGACACGGCCCAGACUCCUACGGGAGGCAGCAGUGGGGAAGUCUUGCGCAAUGGGGGAAACCCUGACGCAGCCAUGCCGCGUGAAUGAUGAAGGUCUUAGGAUUGUAAAAUUCUUUCAGCGGGGACGAUAAUGACGGUACCCGCAGAAGAAGCUCCGGCUAACUUCGUGCCAGCCGCCGCCGU